GACGAACGCUGGCGGCGUGCCUAAUACAUGCAAGUUGAGCGAUGAAGAUUGGUGCUUGCCCCAAUUUGAAGAGCAGCGAACGGGUGAGUAACGCGUGGGGAAUCUGCCUUUGAGCGGGGGACAACAUUUGGAAACGAAUGCUAAUACCGCAUAACAACUUUAAACAUAAGUUUUAAGUUUGAAAGAUGCAAUUGCAUCACUCAAAGAUGAUCCCGCGUUGUAUUAGCUAGUUGGUGAGGUAAAGGCUCACCAAGGCGAUGAUACAUAGCCGACCUGGGAGGGUGAUCGGCCACAUUGGGACUGAGACACGGCCCAAACUCCUACGGGAGGCAGCAGUAGGGAAUCUUCGGCAAUGGACGAAAGUCUGACCGAGCAACGCCGCGUGAGUGAAGAAGGGUUUCGGAUCGUAAAACUCUGUUGGUAGAGAAGAACGUUGGUGAGAGUGGAAAGCUCAUCAAGUGACGGUAACUACCCAGAAAGGGACGGCUAACUACGUG
Molecule: ribosomal RNA, 497 nt
Filed under: uncultured bacterium
Lineage: Bacteria
Description: partial 16S ribosomal RNA
Rfam family: Bacterial small subunit ribosomal RNA
Source: RNAcentral